AACGAUAUAAAGAUUUCCAAAAACGGAUAAGUUUCGGAUAUAAGCGAGCUCGUUCGAAACUUUAAAACGGUAGCCGGGAUGUGAACAGUAAAUGUGCAGGAAAACUACUGAGGCCUGCCAGUUUUUUGGGUCAACUUUGAACGAUCAUAACUCCCUAAAUAUAAUGAACUGGGAGAGCUACCACAUAUCAAAAGAAAGAUCUCUGAGUCUUCUUUCCAAUGCAAUUGGUUUCAUCCAAAUCCAACAUCUGAGUAAGGAGUUAUACUCGUUUUACUUCAGCCUCUCAAAACAGAUUUUUAGGGUCAACUUCAAACGAUCAUAACUACUUGUACAGGACGAACUGGGUGG
RNAcentral lists this long non-coding RNA (348 nucleotides) under Capsicum annuum. RNAcentral describes it as "long non-coding RNA (CANN_LNC003972)". The record is from RNAcentral. Lineage: Eukaryota; Viridiplantae; Streptophyta; Magnoliopsida; Solanales; Solanaceae.